GUGCGGAACGCUGGCCGGGGCG
This 22-nucleotide microRNA is filed under the name Homo sapiens (human). Its description in RNAcentral is "hsa-miR-6850-5p". Lineage: Eukaryota; Metazoa; Chordata; Mammalia; Primates; Hominidae. The record is from miRBase by way of RNAcentral.